This is a small nucleolar RNA of Dendrobium catenatum, 107 nucleotides long. NCBI's taxonomy places the organism in Eukaryota, Viridiplantae, Streptophyta, Magnoliopsida, Asparagales, Orchidaceae. The record is from RefSeq and is a predicted model, not a curated record.
AAAACAUGGUGAGGGCAUCUCCUAAGCAUUUCCUUAAAUCUCUCAAAGCUCUUAUAAAUUGUUUCUCUUUGAAACUAGGUAAAACAAGUAAUAUCAUUUAUACAUUU